UACAGAGGAUGCAAGCGUUAUCCGGAAUGAUUGGGCGUAAAGCGUCUGUAGGUGGCUUUUUAAGUCCGCCGUCAAAUCCCAGGGCUCAACUCUGGACAGGCGGUGGAAACUACCAAGCUGGAGUACGGUAGGGGCAGAGGGAAUUUCCGGUGGAGCGGUGAAAUGCGUAGAGAUCCGGAAGAACACCGGUGGCGAAGGCGGCCUGCUGGGCAGUAGCUGACGCUGAGGCGCGACAGCGUGGGGAGCAAACAGG
This 253-nucleotide ribosomal RNA is filed under the name uncultured bacterium. RNAcentral describes it as "partial 16S ribosomal RNA". It matches the Rfam family "Bacterial small subunit ribosomal RNA", at positions 524 to 776 of the family's 1533-position model. The record is from RNAcentral.